UGACCUGGUUGCUGCUGACCACAGUGCAUUGGGGUGUGCCAUCAGAUCCCAACCUGAACCAGAGCUGCAUGGAGCCCAAGAGGAUUACAACAUCCAAAGUCAACCCGAGCGGUGGAAGCUAGCUAUUAGCUAAUGCAACCUCACCACUUCCUCUGCGAAUCCCUGAUUCACAGCAAAGGAAAAGACAGCACAACAGAGCCCCAAGCAAUUUGCUGUAAGGCUGCUCCAACGCCCAGCUCCCAGCCCACGCUGAUCCAUCACGCUGCACCCGAACGGACUGCGUGCAUCACCCAGCACUGCUGCAAUGGCUCUAGCAGCAGGAUGCAUUAGCAUUCCUGGUAAUGGAGACCAAGGGGCACGGUGGGGAGGAGAUGCUGCUAUAAUGGACAAGGGAUGCAGCAGUCUGGCUGUAGCAAUUAAAAGGGAUCUUGUCCUAAAUCUUGAAAAGACACCCAUUGUGAAGCAACCCCAGGAGCCGAGUCUGACCCUUCAAAAUAACCCACAGCAAGAAGAGCAGUGUCAAAACCCAACACUAGAUGCCAGCAGAUAUUGCAGAAGCGCAUCUACGAAGGUCAGCUGGAGAAAUGCAGCAAAACCACUGAGCUUCCUGUGAGCUUCUCAUAUGACUUUUCCCAAG
RNAcentral lists this long non-coding RNA (637 nucleotides) under Gallus gallus (chicken). Its description in RNAcentral is "long non-coding RNA NONGGAT005393". Lineage: Eukaryota; Metazoa; Chordata; Aves; Galliformes; Phasianidae. The record is from RNAcentral.